Molecule: ribosomal RNA, 400 nt
Filed under: uncultured bacterium
Lineage: Bacteria
Description: bacterial SSU rRNA
Rfam family: Bacterial small subunit ribosomal RNA
Source: RNAcentral
GGGGAAUAUUGGACAAUGGGCGAAAGCCUGAUCCAGCCAUGCCGCGUGAGUGAUGAAGGCCCUAGGGUUGUAAAGCUCUUUCACCGGUGAAGAUAAUGACGGUAACCGGAGAAGAAGCCCCGGCUAACUUCGUGCCAGCAGCCGCGGUAAUACGAAGGGGGCUAGCGUUGUUCGGAAUUACUGGGCGUAAAGCGCACGUAGGCGGACUAUUAAGUCAGGGGUGAAAUCCCGGGGCUCAACCCCGGAACUGCCUUUGAUACUGGUAUUCUCGAGUCCGGAAGUGGUGAGUGGAAUUCCGAGUGUAGAGGUGAAAUUCGUAGAUAUUCGGAGGAACACCAGUGGCGAAGGCGGCUCACUGGUCCGGUACUGACGCUGAGGUGCGAAAGCGUGGGGAGCAAAC